CAGCAGCCGCGGGAAUACAGAGGGUGCGAGCGUUAAUCGGAUUUACUGGGCGUAAAGCGUGCGUAGGCGGCUUCUUAAGUCGGAUGUGAAAUCCCUGAGCUUAACUUAGGAAUUGCAUUCGAUACUGGUUAGCUAGAGUGUGGGAGAGGAUGGUAGAAUUCCAGGUGUAGCGGUGAAAUGCGUAGAGAUCUGGAGGAAUACCGAUGGCGAAGGCAGCCAUCUGGCCUAACACUGACGCUGAGGUACGAAAGCAUGGGGAGCAAACAGGAUUAGAUACCCCUGUAGUCCCUGUCUCUUAUAC
This 301-nucleotide ribosomal RNA is filed under the name uncultured bacterium. RNAcentral describes it as "partial 16S ribosomal RNA". It matches the Rfam family "Bacterial small subunit ribosomal RNA", at positions 509 to 807 of the family's 1533-position model. The record is from RNAcentral.